UCGGUACGUACUGGUGUUACUGAUUCCUACCUUCUGACGAACCAUCAUGUCAUUAAUUUGGUGUGGCGGGGAAUCAGGACUGUUACUUUGAAAAAAUUAGAGUGUUUAAAGCAGGCUCGCGCUUGAAUACAUUAGCAUGGAAUAAUGAAAUAGGACGUUGAUCCUAUUUUGUUGGUUUCUAGGAUUGACGUAAUGAUUAAUAGGGAUAGUUGGGGGCAUUAGUAUUCAAUUGUCAGAGGUGAAAUUCUUGGAUUUAUUGAAGACUAACUACUGCGAAAGCAUUUGCCAAGGAUGUUUUCAUUAAUCAAGAACGAAAGUUAGGGGAUCGAAGACGAUCAGAUACCGUCGUAGUCUUAACCAUAAACUAUGCCGACUAGGGAUCGGAUGAUGUUAUUUUUAAUGACUCAUUCGGCGCCUUACG
This 421-nucleotide ribosomal RNA is filed under the name uncultured Glomeromycotina. RNAcentral's name for it is "SSU rRNA". It matches the Rfam family "Eukaryotic small subunit ribosomal RNA", at positions 670 to 1092 of the family's 1831-position model. The record is from RNAcentral. Lineage: Eukaryota; Fungi; Glomeromycota.